This 1027-nucleotide unclassified non-coding RNA is filed under the name Hevea brasiliensis (rubber tree). Lineage: Eukaryota; Viridiplantae; Streptophyta; Magnoliopsida; Malpighiales; Euphorbiaceae. The record is from RNAcentral.
UGAAAAGGCCAGGGAAUUCACCCGAGCAAGGAAUAAAAGAGGUAUGGUUGUGCUGUCCACUUGCAACUCUUUAGCGAAUUCAGUUUUUAACUUGGAUUAUGUCAUUGUGGAAUUUCAUUUAAUUUCGCUGGGUGGGAAAUCAAAAGUGUUGUUUGCCAUUAAGCUUACCCUUGACAAUGCCUGUGUAAAAAGUAGGAUAUGAUGGCUACCCAAUACUGCAUUCAUUUUGUAUCUUUUGAACUUGUUAGAGUCUUCUUAUUAAAGGACAAGGAACCUAUUACUGUGAAGAUGGAAAGCAGUCUCCUUGGCAUUAUUCUGAUUUUGAAAACCUUCUUUAUAGUGCCCUUUACAUGUUUGGUUAUCUAGUAGAAUAUGUGUGUUAGAUACAUUAAGUAAAGUAAAUGCAGGCUGGAUACAUUUUAUUCCUGUUUUCUUUCAUAACAGAUAUAUCACUCUUGGAGUUCCACCUAAGGUGUUUUGAUUUCAUAUCUUGAUUGUCUCGUAAGCAGAGUAUUUUCACAACAAUCAUUAACUGCUCUCUCUCUCUCUCUCUGAGACUAAAGGUGUGGGGGGAAAAAUCCCUUUUUAAAAUCCAUCUUGAUGGGUUCAUGUUUGAUGAUGGUUAUCUGGAUGUUAUAAAUUCCAUUUAUACUGGGAUAAUAAUAAUAAUAAAAAAAAGCCCAUGGAAAUGGUUUUCUUACGGUGGCAAUGGGUACUUUGACUCUUCAUUCUGCCUCAGAUUACAUUUGUUGGAUAAUGAUACUUGGACAUGAGAAAGACACUUUAACUCUUUAAAUUAGUGAGAAAAAUCUAUUAAAGUUUUUUAACAUAGCCAAAUUCAACCCCACAUCCAUUAUUUGAUAUCAUACCACAGUUCAAGUAACAUAGAUGAUAACUUUUUUAUGCGGGUAAAUAUGGCAAGUCAAAAUCUGUGAAGAUGUGAAGUGCUAUUAUAAAAUUUAGGUUGUUUACUGGUUGAGUUCCGAUUGAUACAAUUGUCAUGCAGCGGCUAUUCAAUGUUUGAAGA